CAUUAGGCUCAGGGUUUUUCAGGGCUUUUUUUUCUUUUUUCAUUAACCCACACAAAAGUAAAGUGGAAAUCACCAUAGCCAGUCAGCUCAGCUCCUACUGUGAGCCUGACUAGGGCCCCUAAUAACAUCACUCUGCUCUCGCUGCUGCUGGAUUAAUACAAGAGAUACUCGCAAAAGGACAUGCAUCACACGGCGGCUUACACUGACAACAGAGACAAAAAAGAAGAAGAUGAGACCUGACGCUGGCCAUCCUUCCUCAAAGAUGGCUGAAUGAACAAAAGGACUUGAAGGGCCGGGAGGAGACGAGGACUGGAACACGCAUUUGGUGAGUAAUCAAUUCAUUUGAUUUCCAACUU
Sebastes umbrosus (honeycomb rockfish) is the source of this 356-nucleotide long non-coding RNA. RefSeq lists it as uncharacterized. The record is from RefSeq and is a predicted model, not a curated record. The transcript has 3 exons. Lineage: Eukaryota; Metazoa; Chordata; Actinopteri; Perciformes; Sebastidae.